Zingiber officinale is the source of this 1553-nucleotide long non-coding RNA. RefSeq lists it as uncharacterized. The transcript has 2 exons. The record is from RefSeq and is a predicted model, not a curated record. Lineage: Eukaryota; Viridiplantae; Streptophyta; Magnoliopsida; Zingiberales; Zingiberaceae.
CUAGAUAUAAGAUCCGGCCGUACCUUUUUCUUUCCCUGCCCUAAAAACCCCCAUUCUUCUCUCCUUUCCUUUCUGACAGCGCCUACUUCACGCCUCAUCUCCUCUCCGCCCCAGCGACGGAGCUUCUCACCUCGACACAGCUCAGGCCAAGCUUUGCAACUCAUAGCCGAUCCCGUGAGGGACAUCCUGAUCGGGCGAAGCUCAUCCGCAGAGCAGCAUCCGGGGCGAGGAUUGCUGGCGGGGAUGCGAGAAGUAAAAGGCAAGUUCAUUCUUAUAUGCUGGUAUGAGAUCGGAGGGGUAAGGAAUGGGUAGUUAGAUGGAUUUAAACUGCUUGUUUGUGAUGCCGAUGGUUCGAAGGGGGGCGUUGCGAUUUGACCGUUCCGUAAUGUUUUGUUUCAAUCGAUGAAUCUUGCUGGUUUCCACUAAGGAUUUUUGGUGGGUGUUAUCAAAUUAGGUUUUGCUCGGGUUUUCUUGAUAGCUUGAGUUUCGUAACUAGAUCUUGUUGGUUUUGGCUAUUUUGUGGACGCUUUGUUCCCUCCUAGUGUUUUAAGGUUUGAUCAAAGACAUGCUGGACUGAUUUGGAAGGUGUGACUUCAUUUUUUUUAUUGUUGUUUUGUUCUUCGUAUAGCUGCAAUUCUGGUGUGGAUGCACUUCAAUAAGGUUCAGGUUCCUCAGAUAGCUAUGGAUUCCAUGCGAUUUUGCUUUGAUGUGGUUUUGUUCCUCAGACAGCUGUGGUUCUGUGUGAUUUCUAUUUGGUGUUGUUUUAUUUCUUUGAAUAGCUAUGGAUUGUUGAGAUUUACGCCAUGAGUACGGAUGCCUUUUCUGCUGUCACUGGAAUGCUGUAUAAACUUGGAAUGUUGUGGGUUUCUCCGCGAGGUUGUUCUGGGUCGGUGUAGUGCUAUUCGGCUUUGUUUUGUAGAUAGUUAUGGAGUUGUGUUUCUGCUUUCCUUUGUUUCACAGCAAUUGUUGGGUUUUAAGCUUUAUUCGGUGAAACUUUGGUGUUCUUAUGGUAUCUUAAGUUGCUGGUCGGAUUUGAAUUAGAACAAUAAUAAUGGUCGGAAGCUUUGUUUCUGAAUCGCUAUGUAAUCUGAAGAUGUUCUGUUCUCCAAAUAGCUGUGGAUUCGUUGUUGAUUUUAAUUCUAAGAUGUUCCGCCUUCUUACAUAGUUACAGAUUCUUUGUGAAUUUUGGGAAGUAUGGAUUUGAUUCAACGUUGUUUGCACCCUGUUUUGCAUCACUGAAUUUAUAUAGCAGUUUUUGAAAUCAAAUUGAUGUGUUUGGCUGCUUCGAUUAAUGGAUGCAAUGGUGAUCUUGGAAUUUUGAUUCAUUUUAUUUCACGGAGUCUUGCGAUUGUUGGGAUUGGGAUCAGUUGGGAGUUUCGUUGGAUUUUUGCUUUGUAAAGUCGUGAUGGUAUUCUUGUAUAGCUGUUAAAGGAUCGUGGAAGUUUUAUUGUGGUUUUGCUGUGGUUCUGCUGUGGUUUCCUAUAGGGAUUCGGGUAACAGGAAUCAUGUGUCUUUGCUAGUAUUAAUAUUGUGAUCGGUUCUCAGUUUGGAUA